This 660-nucleotide ribosomal RNA is filed under the name Enterobacter sp. RNAcentral's name for it is "bacterial SSU rRNA". It matches the Rfam family "Bacterial small subunit ribosomal RNA", at positions 61 to 713 of the family's 1533-position model. The record is from RNAcentral. Lineage: Bacteria; Pseudomonadati; Pseudomonadota; Gammaproteobacteria; Enterobacterales; Enterobacteriaceae.
GUCGACGGUAGCACAGAGAGCUUGCUCUCGGGUGACGAGUGGCGGACGGGUGAGUAAUGUCUGGGAAACUGCCUGAUGGAGGGGGAUAACUACUGGAAACGGUAGCUAAUACCGCAUAACGUCGCAAGACCAAAGAGGGGGACCUUCGGGCCUCUUGCCAUCAGAUGUGCCCAGAUGGGAUUAGCUAGUAGGUGGGGUAACGGCUCACCUAGGCGACGAUCCCUAGCUGGUCUGAGAGGAUGACCAGCCACACUGGAACUGAGACACGGUCCAGACUCCUACGGGAGGCAGCAGUGGGGAAUAUUGCACAAUGGGCGCAAGCCUGAUGCAGCCAUGCCGCGUGUAUGAAGAAGGCCUUCGGGUUGUAAAGUACUUUCAGCGGGGAGGAAGGUGUUGUGGUUAAUAACCGCAGCAAUUGACGUUACCCGCAGAAGAAGCACCGGCUAACUCCGUGCCAGCAGCCGCGGUAAUACGGAGGGUGCAAGCGUUAAUCGGAAUUACUGGGCGUAAAGCGCACGCAGGCGGUCUGUCAAGUCGGAUGUGAAAUCCCCGGGCUCAACCUGGGAACUGCAUUCGAAACUGGCAGGCUGGAGUCUCGUAGAGGGAGGUAGAAUUCCAGGUGUAGCGGUGAAAUGCGUAUAGAUCUGGAGGAAUACCGGU